Molecule: ribosomal RNA, 760 nt
Filed under: Orthotrichum rivulare
Lineage: Eukaryota; Viridiplantae; Streptophyta; Bryopsida; Orthotrichales; Orthotrichaceae
Description: partial 26S ribosomal RNA
Rfam family: Eukaryotic large subunit ribosomal RNA
Source: RNAcentral
UAAGCAUAUCACUGAGCGCAGGAGAAGAAACUAACCAGGAUUUCCCUAGUAACGGCGAGCGAACCGGAAAGAGCCCAGCUUGAAAAUCGUGGCGCCCCGGCGCCUCGAAUUGUAGUCUGGAGAAGGUCCCUCUGCGGCGCGCCGGAUUCAAGUUCCCUGGAAUGGGACGUCCGAGAGGGUGAGAACCCCGUCGUAUCCGGAGUGCGUCGCUCCACGAGGACCUGUCUGCGAGUCGGGCUGUUUGGGAAUGCAGCCCUAAGCGGGUGGUAAAUUCCAUCCAAGGCUAAAUAUUGGCAAGAGACCGAUAGCGAACAAGUACCGCGAGGGAAAGAUGAAAAGGACUUUGAAAAGAGAGUUAAAAAGUGCUUGAAAUUGCUGGGAGGGAAGCGAAUGGAAGCUGCGGGUGCGCCCCGGUUGGAUGUGGAACGGCCGUCAAACGCUGGUCCGCCGCUCAACGCGGGGCGCUGGUCAGCGUGGGCCAUCGCGGCGGGACAAGAGCGGGGAUUCGCUUCCCGCCGAUGCCGCUGCGGUGGCCGAGGAACGAAGCGCGCGCCUCCUGGCGUGGGACUUGUCCCAACUGCGCGCUCGAGACGCUGGCGUAUUGAGCUCUUCAUCCGACCCGUCUUGAAACACGGACCAAGGAGUCUAACAUGUAUGCGAGCCGGUGGGCGGCAAACCCAUUGAGGCGCAAGUAACCUGACAGGUGGGACCCCGCUUGCGGGAGCACCAUCGACCGACCGUGAUCUUCUGUGAAGGGUUC